This is a long non-coding RNA of Talpa occidentalis (Iberian mole), 377 nucleotides long. RefSeq lists it as uncharacterized. The record is from RefSeq and is a predicted model, not a curated record. The transcript is spliced from 3 exons. NCBI's taxonomy places the organism in Eukaryota, Metazoa, Chordata, Mammalia, Eulipotyphla, Talpidae.
UAUAAACCCAUGGACAGUUGCUUCUUGAGCCAUCACAGCUGACCCCUUUACUUGCUGCUCUUAACCCACUCUCAAGGACACCCAUGCCUCCAAGGAAGAUUAUAAACACCCUAGAGGAGAUGGCUUAGGAGAAGGGAGUGGUGCUUAACGCAAGCAGAGGUCAUCUGAUGACGUCAGGAAGAAUGUGGAAGGGAUUCUAUGACCGGACAAACAUCAGCCUUCAGAGGUCCCUUCCAACACUGAGGUUCUCUGGCCUAAUUGUGUAGCAAUUUACCAGACGUGUAUGGGGAGACUCCAAUGUGCAUAUGUUUAUGUAUGUCCUGACCAUUCAUUGUUAAAGUUCUCCCAGUCAUCACCUUGAGAGGAAUUGAAUAAAA